RNAcentral lists this ribosomal RNA (252 nucleotides) under uncultured bacterium. Its description in RNAcentral is "partial 16S ribosomal RNA". It matches the Rfam family "Bacterial small subunit ribosomal RNA", at positions 524 to 776 of the family's 1533-position model. The record is from RNAcentral.
UACGUAGGGUGCGAGCGUUGUCCGGAAUUAUUGGGCGUAAAGGGCUCGUAGGCGGUCUGUCGCGUCGGGAGUGAAAACUCAGGGCUUAACCCUGAGCCUGCUUCCGAUACGGGCAGACUAGAGGUAUGCAGGGGAGAACGGAAUUCCUGGUGUAGCGGUGAAAUGCGCAGAUAUCAGGAGGAACACCGGUGGCGAAGGCGGUUCUCUGGGCAUUACUGACGCUGAGGCGCGAAAGCUAGGGGAGCAAACGGG